This 407-nucleotide ribosomal RNA is filed under the name uncultured bacterium. RNAcentral's name for it is "partial 16S ribosomal RNA". It matches the Rfam family "Bacterial small subunit ribosomal RNA", at positions 30 to 526 of the family's 1533-position model. The record is from RNAcentral.
AUUGAACGCUGGCGGCAGGCCUAACACAUGCAAGUCGAGCGGAGCGGCGGACGGGUGAGUGAUACCUAGGAAUCUGCCUGCUAGUGGGGGAUAACGUUCGGAAACGGACGCUAAUACCUCAUACUUUCAGUUGAGCCUGGGUCGGAUUAGCUAGUUGGUGAGGUAAUGGCUCACCUAGGCGACGAUCCGUACCUGGUCUGAGAGGAUGAUCAGUCACACUGGAACUGAGACACGGUCCAGACUCCUACGGGAGGCAGCAGUGGGGAAUAUUGGACAAUGGGCGAAAGCCUGAUCCAGCCAUGCCGCGUGUGUGAAGAAGGUCUUCGGAUUGUAAAGCACUUUAAGUUGGGAGGCGUUACCGACAGAAUAAGCACCGGCUAACUCUGUGCCAGCAGCCGCGGUAAUUC